AGGCCAGAGUAGUAGUCGGGUCGGAGACGACCGGCGAAUGCCUGGUGUUGCAUG
Molecule: ribosomal RNA, 54 nt
Filed under: Colletotrichum liriopes
Lineage: Eukaryota; Fungi; Ascomycota; Sordariomycetes; Glomerellales; Glomerellaceae
Source: RNAcentral